Molecule: ribosomal RNA, 99 nt
Filed under: Pseudomonas aeruginosa
Lineage: Bacteria; Pseudomonadati; Pseudomonadota; Gammaproteobacteria; Pseudomonadales; Pseudomonadaceae
Description: partial 16S ribosomal RNA
Rfam family: Bacterial small subunit ribosomal RNA
Source: RNAcentral
CUAACCGCAAGGGGGACGGUUACCACGGAGUGAUUCAUGACUGGGGUGAAGUCGUAACAAGGUAGCCGUAGGGGAACCUGCGGCUGGAUCACCUCCUUA